AGUGUUCUCCAUUUUGGAUGAAAAGAUGAAAAGCUGUCAGAAGAAGUUUUUUGACAUUUUGAGAAACCGAACUGAGAAUCUGGAGGAAGCUCACACAGGGGGCGAAAGUGACAUUAUUCUAGUUUUCUGUCCUAUUGUUUCUCGAGCUGGAACUGACAUUGAAGCUGCACUGAAGAAUUGUGUUUUACUCUACAGAUUCUAAGCUAACUGUUCUAGUGGUGCUUCAUCACACGUUUGACCCAGAGAAAAUAGUCCCAGACAGCAGCAGAUCUGUCAAGAGGACAGACAUACUCACAGUGGACUGUCUGUUCUAUGAGGAUACAGGAUUACUGAAGUGUCAGAAGAAUUUAGAUUCCACUGAAAAAACUGUGAACUGGUUAAUACAGCAGGGGGCAAAAAUAGGCAAAACAAUAUCACCAAGUCAACAUGAAUCAUCUGCCUCUUCAGGUGUAAUUUCAUAUUUGAGAAAGUUUAGAGCAUAGCAGAAUGACACUGAGGAUCGCUUCAUCGACCAUUCAGAAAGAUCCUGUGACAACUACAUACCUCGACUCUUCACAGUUGAGAUCUACUUGAGCUUGUGUCUAUCAAAUACAAAUGUUUUCAGCAAGUGCUUAAAAAAAUGCAAUAAUUUAAUCAGUUAGUUAUUAUCCAGUUUAUUCCAGCCACAGUGAACUAAAAACAGAAGUCUUUGUUUUAUUAGGGUAAGGGUUAGGGUAUUUACAAAAGCCUAGCAUGUUGACAGGCAUUUACAAACCAUUAUACUGAAUAGUUCUAUUGGCUACUAAUGUACGCAAAUAAAUGACCUGAUAAUGAGUGUACAAAGCAGUAAAACUCUCCUUGCUGCAUGACAAAGCCCAUAUAUGAUAAUAAACUAAUGUUCAGUUCUUCUGUCUAAUUCCUUACAUUUAUGCAGAGGCAAAUAUAACUAUGUAACAAAUGAACAAAAUUUCUGUGUAUUUAAUUAAGAGAUUUUCAAUUAAUUGUUUCUUUGCUGGUGUAAAUGAAUCAUACUGCAUUUAAUCUGCAUGUUGUAUUGAUAGAUUUUGUCUGCUACUAUGCCUUUACUCUAAAUCUUAUCCUGUAAAAAGAAAAAUACUUAUAAUUACAAAUCAUAGUAAAUUUGGUGUAAAACUGUAAA
Molecule: long non-coding RNA, 1138 nt
Organism: Cyprinus carpio (common carp)
Lineage: Eukaryota; Metazoa; Chordata; Actinopteri; Cypriniformes; Cyprinidae
Exons: 5
Source: RefSeq, a predicted model, not a curated record